This 479-nucleotide long non-coding RNA is filed under the name Homo sapiens (human). RNAcentral describes it as "non-protein coding PCBP1-AS1:234". Lineage: Eukaryota; Metazoa; Chordata; Mammalia; Primates; Hominidae. The record is from RNAcentral.
ACUGCAGUAGUGAAAAUGAAGCGCACGAUGGGCGGAAGCUAGGAAGACAAACAUAAAGAUGAAGUGCUUAAUUCAAGGUCACACAAUGUCGGGGAUGGACCUCCAGAUUUCCUUACUGGUGAGACGUGGUCUUGUAACACAGUGGUUAAGAAUGUGACUUUGGAGCCAGCCUGCUAGGGGCUGAAUUCUGACUCAGCCAUUUACUAACUGUGUGACCUUAGGUCACAGAAUUUUCCACACUCCUUGACAGAGGUGCUUAACCCUUAUCCAUCAGCAUUCUCAGACAGCACCUCCGGUUAGGGACAGUAUCUGACCGUCCGACAUCCCUGCAGCCCCCAUGUGUCACACAGACUCAGCCUCAGGUAGAUGGUUUCCGUAGAUGGUGGCUUUCUUUGGACCCUUGACAUCAACCAGUUACUAUUUGCCAGAGACAGACUCCCAGACUCGGCCAGAGGCUGAUGCCAACUCCUUCCAGCUCU